UCAAGAAACUUCCACAAUGGGCGAAAGCCUGAUGGAGCGACGUCGCGUGAUGGACGAAGUGCUUCGGCACGUAAACAUCUUUUUAUGUGGGAUGAAAUUAUUGACAGUACCACAUGAAUAAGGGGCUCCUAACUCUGUGCCAGCAGGAGCGGUAAUACAGAGGCCCCAAGCGUUAUCCGGAAUCACUGGGCGUAAAGGGUGUCGAGGCGGUUGUAUUAGUCGUUCGUAAAAUCUACGAGCUUAACUUGUAGGCGGCGAACGAAACGGUACGACUUGAGGUUUGGAGAGGUGCGUGGAACUCACGGUGUAGGGGUGAAAUCCGUUGAUAUCGUGGGGAACACCAAAGGCGAAGGCAGCGCACUGGCCAAAAUCUGACGCUCACACACGAAAGCUAGGGUAGCGAAGAGGAUUAGAUACCCAAGUAGUCCCUGAGCGGGCUGGCAAGGCGCAU
Molecule: ribosomal RNA, 451 nt
Filed under: uncultured bacterium
Lineage: Bacteria
Description: bacterial SSU rRNA
Rfam family: Bacterial small subunit ribosomal RNA
Source: RNAcentral